CAGCCGCCACGGGAAUACGUAGGGUGCAAGCGUUAAUCGGAAUUACUGGGCGUAAAGCGUGCGCAGGCGGUUAUAUAAGACAGAUGUGAAAUCCCCGGGCUCAACCUGGGAACUGCAUUUGUGACUGUAUGGCUAGAGUACGGCAGAGGGGGAUGGAAUUCCGCGUGUAGCAGUGAAAUGCGUAGAUAUGCGGAGGAACACCGAUGGCGAAGGCAAUCCCCUGGGCCUGUACUGACGCUCAUGCACGAAAGCGUGGGGAGCAAACAGGAUUAGAUACCCGCGUAGUCCCUGUCUCUUAUAC
Molecule: ribosomal RNA, 301 nt
Filed under: uncultured bacterium
Lineage: Bacteria
Description: partial 16S ribosomal RNA
Rfam family: Bacterial small subunit ribosomal RNA
Source: RNAcentral